This 686-nucleotide long non-coding RNA is filed under the name Schistocerca americana (American grasshopper). RNAcentral describes it as "uncharacterized LOC124595399, transcript variant X2". Lineage: Eukaryota; Metazoa; Arthropoda; Insecta; Orthoptera; Acrididae. The record is from RNAcentral.
UGGUACUGCGCCAUAGAUUGCAUUGAAGCAUUUUAACUGCCGUGUAUGAUCGAAGUAAUAAGAUAUUAUUUUGUACUACAAUCAUAAAUCUCUCUCUCUCUCGAUGGGAGGCUCUUGGCGUUCAAACAAAAUAACAGUAGUUCGAAACUGUGAAUGGAUAAGUUCUGCAAUCUGCAAAGGCUAAGAAGAAACAAUGACAGGGGAAAGACUUGUCGUUGUAAAGAGCUGUAGCCAGGUGUAUGUUUGAUUACGUAAGUGAUGUACCGCACUUAGGAAAUUAAGCGUCCGACAACACUUCAGAUUGACAAAACGUGCUGUUCUAUAGUCUCAGGCUCGUGCUGUGCAGCAGUCUGCUAAUCUGUACAAAUAAAAUGGCUCGUAUUUUGGGAGCAUUGUACAAUCAGUCGGGAAACCUCAGAUCCAGUGGAUAUUUGGCUUUGAUGAAGUUUAACCUUCCGAAGAUGUAAUGGAGGUCUUGGAUUAUUAAAUCCAGGUGCAGUAUUCACACAGACAUAUAGGUGAUGGAAAGCGAUGGAGCAAACAUUAACAGAUGGAGAAUAUUACUUCCUGGUACUGCUGAUUACACUUCCUGUCAAUUUGUUUUUCUGUCUGUGGGCUUGGCUUGGAUGGGAGCUUUUUAAAAAUAAUUAGGGCUACAUUGAAAUAAAACUAUCAUGCCAUUCAAA